This 403-nucleotide ribosomal RNA is filed under the name uncultured bacterium. RNAcentral's name for it is "partial 16S ribosomal RNA". It matches the Rfam family "Bacterial small subunit ribosomal RNA", at positions 30 to 526 of the family's 1533-position model. The record is from RNAcentral.
AUUGAACGCUGGCGGCAGGCCUAACACAUGCAAGUCGAGCGAGCGGCGGACGGGUGAGUAAUGUAUGGGGACUGCCCGAUAGAGGGGGGUAACUACUGGAAACGGUUGCUAAUACCGCAUACUGUCGCAUUACCCAUAUGGGAUUAGCUAGUAGGUGAGGUAAUGGCUUACCUAGGCGACGAUCCCUAGCUGGUCUGAGAGGAUGAUCAGCCACACUGGGACUGAGACACGGCCCAGACUCCUAGGGAGGCAGCAGUGGGGAAUAUGGCGCAAUGGGCGGAAGCCUGAGGCAGCCAUGCCGCGAGUAUGAAGAAGGCCCGAGGGUUGUAAAGUACUUUCAGUCGGGAGGCGUUACCGACAGAAGAAGCACCGGCUAACUCCGUGCCAGCAGCCGCGGUAAUAC